RNAcentral lists this ribosomal RNA (465 nucleotides) under uncultured bacterium. RNAcentral describes it as "partial 16S ribosomal RNA". It matches the Rfam family "Bacterial small subunit ribosomal RNA", at positions 338 to 795 of the family's 1533-position model. The record is from RNAcentral.
CCUACGGGUGGCAGCAGUAGGGAAUCUUCCACAAUGGGCGAAAGCCUGAUGGAGCAACGCCGCGUGGGUGAAGAAGGUCUUCGGAUCGUAAAACACUGUUGUUAGAGAAGAAAGUGCGUGAGAGUAACUGUUCACGCUUCGACGGUAUCUAACCAGAAAGCAACGGCUAACUACGUGCCAGCAGCCGCGGUAAUACGGAGGUGGCAAGCGUUAACCGGAUUUAUUGGGCGUAAAGGGAACGCAGGCGGUUUUUUAAGUCUGAUGUGAAAGCCUUCGGCUUAACCGGAGUAGUGCAUUGGAAACUGGGAGACUUGAGUGCAGAAGAGGGGAGUGGAACUCCAUGUGUAGCGGUGAAAUGCGUAGAUAUAUGGAAGAACACCAGUGGCGAAGGCGGCUCUCUGGUCUGUAACUGACGCUGAGGUUCGAAAGCGUGGGUAGCAAACAGGAUUAGAUACCCCUGUAGUC